Molecule: ribosomal RNA, 433 nt
Filed under: uncultured bacterium
Lineage: Bacteria
Description: partial 16S ribosomal RNA
Rfam family: Bacterial small subunit ribosomal RNA
Source: RNAcentral
AACGAACGCUGGCGGCAUGCCUAACACAUGCCAGUCGAACGAUCCCUUCGGGGAUAGUGGCGCACGGGUGCGUAACGCGUGGGAACCUUCCCUUAGGUUCGGAAUAACUCAGAGAAAUUUGAGCUAAUACCGGAUAAUGUCUUCGGACCAAAGAUUUAUCGCCUUUGGAUGGGCCCGCGUUGGAUUAGCUAGUUGGUGGGGUAAAGGCCUACCAAGGCGACGAUCCAUAGCUGGUCUGAGAGGAUGAUCAGCCACACUGGGACUGAGACACGGCCCAGACUCCUACGGGAGGCAGCAGUGGGGAAUAUUGGACAAUGGGCGAAAGCCUGAUCCAGCAAUGCCGCGUGAGUGAUGAAGGCCUUAGGGUUGUAAAGCUCUUUUACCCGGGAUGAUAAUGACAGUACCGGGAGAAUAAGCCCCGGCUAACUCCGUG